Molecule: long non-coding RNA, 1327 nt
Organism: Acanthopagrus latus (yellowfin seabream)
Lineage: Eukaryota; Metazoa; Chordata; Actinopteri; Spariformes; Sparidae
Exons: 2
Source: RefSeq, a predicted model, not a curated record
GCUGCACGAGCCCCAUACUGUUCUCUUUUUUUUCCUCCGCUGUGGAGCCGCACUUGGAUAUUGCCCAUAUUUAGGCAGCGAGAGUUGACCAGUGUGUGCGUGUCGCAUGUCCUCAUCACGUGUGAUCACAUCAGCUUUGUUGACAGAAACACAUUGAUCAGCAUUGUAGAAGGUGGAUCUGGUUUUGGAUGAGGGGCAGCAGACUUUGAGACAAUCACUGCCACUGGCACCUUUCAACCAUCCAACCUGACCAGCAGGACCACCCCGGGGAGGAGAGGAAUAGUUGGGAUGUGGUCCAUGACAAUCCAUUUUGGGUUAAAGGCUGCUCCUGGCUGAUGUCCGGUUGCAGGGAAAUAAAAUGGAGAUAAUUGGACAGGCUGGUCAACGGGAAAUAAGACCCUACUGUCCCCACAUCUUUCCAGACCUGCCUCCACCACAAAAUCCUGUAUCAAGCUGUUCCCACUACAGCGAGACAAAGAGAGUUCAUGUCAUGUCUACAAAAUUGAUGUCAACAGUUUCACUGAAAACUGGCUUUAUUGAAUAUAAAUCUCUGUUACAGUGCCAAUGAAGUGGUGCUGCUGUACUUCAGCAGUUACAACAUGGUUAAGUCAAAAUGUGAACAAAAGACAAAAGGCUUUGCAUGAUUACAGUCAUUUUUAUAGAAGGCAAACUGUAAUAGUUGUGCCAUGUUUAAAAAUAAUAAGUAAAAGAAAAUAAAGACACAUGUGUUGUAAGUUUGGACUUAUAUGAUGUUUUGAUAAAUUAUUGGAAUGAGUUAUGAAGUAAGUGCACAAAGAAGGUAAAUGGUUGGCACCUGUCAUAUCAUUUAUGAAGGCACUUUAUAGCACACAUUUACCAGGAACAAAGACUGAGCUGAUAUGAGGGACAGGAAUUUUCUAGAGAGUAUCAAGCACUACAUCAAAUACUACAUCGGCACAGAGAACAUGUUACUGGAGUGACUCGCUAGACACCAAGCACCCACAUACAGUCUGUAUGAUGUCAAAUGUCUUGAAGUUAAAUAUAUGGCUUCAUAAUCUUUACACAAACAAGUUCUCUGAUGCCUGAAUACUGCAGCUGUUCAAAUCAAAACACUUUCAGAAAUAAUUUUACCAAGAUAGCAACCUAUAGGAAGACACCUUUUCUAAUACAUUUAAUAGCUCAAUUUUGCAUUCUUUGAUUUGAUUUGUUCGACUUAAAAAUGGCAACAUUUAUUUCAUUAGCCUUGUAUCUGAUUUGAACAGUAUAACAUGUAACAUGCGGAAUAUUAAUCGUCAUUUGACCACAGAGUUUUAGCCUCUGAAUGUGUUCACACACACACACACACACA